UUUCCGUAGGUGAACCUGCGGAAGGAUCAUUAUUGUAUAACCGAGGUGCGAGGGCUGUCGCUGACCCGACAGGUCGUGCACGCACGAGUGCCCUCACACGCAUCCAUCUCACCCCUAUGUGCACCACCGCGUGGGUCCCCCUUUGGCUUGUUCGGAGGGGGGCUUACGUUUUCACACAAACUUUGUAUGCAGUGUAGAUUGUAUUUUUUGUUUUUGCGAUCACGCAAUCAAUACAACUUUCAACAACGGAUCUCUUGGCUCUC
This 263-nucleotide unclassified non-coding RNA is filed under the name plant metagenome. RNAcentral's name for it is "partial contains small subunit ribosomal RNA, internal transcribed spacer 1, and 5.8S ribosomal RNA". The record is from RNAcentral.